CUUCAAAGCAUGACUCAGAUGCACCAUUUUUAUGAGAAUCCUUAACUGAUCCAUGCUGGUGGUAUUUCUGUUAUAAAAUUUCAUGGUUUUUACUUCAUAUUUACUCAUUUCUAUAUUCAUUAUUCUGUAGGUAUGAUAGUCCUUAAAAGAGUAUCAGUAACUUGAAGGUAAGGAUUGUAUAUAUAUUUUUCUCUUCCCAGGGUUAACCACAAUUGCUAAAAGAUAGUAGUAGUAGCUAAAUCAAUGUCUGUUGGAUUAAGAAAUUUGUCAGAAAGGAUAAUUGGCAGUGGAUGACAGUGAAUGAUAACACUAAGAACAAGCACAUUUCAAAUGAGAAUUAGAAAACUUGCUGAUCAGAACAAUUUGUUAUAAUGGUCCUGAAGUUGUCUGAAGAGGAUGAUUUGCUUAGGUCUUGGUCAGACAUCAAAUAUACAAAGGUCAUCGACUGUAGCUCAGAUUAUCACCAUAUGGCUUGGCUUUUGUUUUGCCACUGGACUUUGAUGCCUCUGGAAGAGAGUGAAACUCUCUCAUCAGUCAACUUUAUGAAACUCUACCUCACUUCAAUCCAAUUCACAGGAGCCCUGGGAGCGAGGUUCCAUUAUUCCCAUUUCACAGAUGAAGAUUUUGAGACAAAAUGACUUACCAACGCUGAUGCAGCUAUACUGACAGGUGAAAUAUGGCAUCUUUAAUUUGGGGAGUAAGAGUGAUCCAACUGUCCCAAAUAUGACAAUG
Molecule: long non-coding RNA, 732 nt
Filed under: Monodelphis domestica (gray short-tailed opossum)
Lineage: Eukaryota; Metazoa; Chordata; Mammalia; Didelphimorphia; Didelphidae
Description: lncRNA (ENSMODG00000038808.1)
Source: RNAcentral